RNAcentral lists this long non-coding RNA (421 nucleotides) under Ananas comosus (pineapple). RNAcentral describes it as "long non-coding RNA (ACOM_LNC041044)". The record is from RNAcentral. Lineage: Eukaryota; Viridiplantae; Streptophyta; Magnoliopsida; Poales; Bromeliaceae.
AAAUAAUCUUGAUUCCAUUCAGUGUAUAAAUUUCAUGUUUUAAUGUAUUAAAACCUAAAAUACGAGAAAUUCAAAUAGUUUUUGGAUCAGGACCAUUGUAAUCAACUCCUUUCGAACCAUGUAUAAUAUUUUUAUCAAAAUUUAAAAAGAUUAGAAUUGGUUGAUGGGCUAUAUGAAAAUUUUUUAUUUUAAAAUAAAUCGAUAUGAGAUAAAUUAUACACAAAAAUUAGAGAGUGAGAAGGGAUCUCGGAAAAGGAGAGAGAAAAAGAUAAUCUCCCCCACUUAACCCCUUAAUAUUAAAGGUAUUAAUUUCUCUUUUUUUCUUUAAUCUUUGAAAAUGAGGCUAGAUAGGAAAUAUUUUUCAAAAGAAGGCUAGAUAGGAAAUAUUUUUUUGUAAAGAGGCUAGAUAGGUAAAUAGUUC